Long non-coding RNA from Neofelis nebulosa (Clouded leopard), 6905 nucleotides. RefSeq lists it as uncharacterized. The record is from RefSeq and is a predicted model, not a curated record. The transcript has 2 exons. Lineage: Eukaryota; Metazoa; Chordata; Mammalia; Carnivora; Felidae.
GAGCGGGACUCUGGUGGGAGGGGGGGGGUCCGGUGGAUUGGGGGAGAUGGGUGGUUGAGGCGGUCUGGCCGAUAGAUGGGGUUUGCCUUCCCCCUCGGGAAGUCGGGAAUGUAACGUUUGUUAAGCUGGAAGGGAAGGAGGUGGUCAGAGGCAGGCAGGAGUGCGGCCCGCCCUGCGGCAACCGGAGGGGGAGGGAGAAGAGCGGAAAAGGCUCGAAUCCGGAUGGAGCCAUUGCUCCUGCAGAGGGAGGAGCGCUUCCGGCUCACCUCUUGUCACUGAUUGGCCGCUUUUCCUCCCGCCGUGUGUGAAAACACAAAUGGCGUGUUUUGGUUGGAGUAAAGCGCCUGUCAGUUACAGCCUCGAGAGUGCGCAGCCGCUUGGGGACUCUCGCGUUGCUCCCUGGGUGGGAUGGGUAGGUAGUUGGGGUGGGGAGAGGGCUGGAGGAGCGGGCGCGGUCGACCUCCCGCGGUGGGGGGGGGGGGUGUCAGGGAAAGUGCCUCCCGCGCGGGCGUCUGGCCACCCGCCCCUUCCUUGGAAGGAGUCGGUUUACCCGCCGCCUGCUAGGCUUCGGCGUCUGAUUGGUUACUGAAGCCCGGGGAACGGCCCCUUGCCAUUGGCUCGGGUCCCAAAUGAGCGAAACCACUGAGCGGUUCGGUAGGGGUGGCGGGGAGGCGGUCGUUGGUACGGUCCUUCCCAAGGCCCAGCGCCGCAGUGUCUGGCCCUGCGCCCCUGCGCAACGUGGCAGGAAGCGCGCGCUGGAGGCGGAGGCGGGCUGCUGGGUUGAGGCUUCUGGGUGGCGGCGACGGCGGCUCCGCCCCGGGCGCCCGCCACCUUAAGGACGAGACAAGCCGGAUCUGCUCUCGGACUCGCGGGGGUGGGGGAAAGGAGCGGGGGUCAGUCUUGCUGGUUUGUGGGAGAGAGGUGCGUGUUCUCCAAAAAUCGGCGCGAGCUGCAAUCCUGAGGGAUCUGCAGUGGAGGAGGCGGAGUGAAGGCCGCACCCUUCUCGGUAGGGGGAGGGGAGUGCUGCAAUACCUUUAUGGGAGUUCUUUGCUGCCUCCUGUCUCCUAAGGACCGCCCUGGGCCUAGAAGAAUCCCUCCCUCCCCCGCGAUCUCGUCAUAGCCUCCAUGUCAAGUCGCUGCUUCUCGAUUGUGGGCGGGACUCUUGCCCAGGCUUAACCUGGUGCCUGGGCGUUGUCCUGCAGGGAGACUGAGCAGGUGUAAGAUUUCUCUCUUCCCACAGACUUGAGUUUGUGUCACAAAGUAAUUAUAAUAGGGGUGGAGGAGGGAAAUGGGAGUCCAGGCGUUCACCUUGGGCUGAUUUUAUGCAGCAAAACUGCGUGUUAUUACAACUUCAGGAUCCUUUUUGUAGUAUUUUUCCUGUAGAUAAAAGGAAAUAGAUUAAAGGCAUGACUAUCAGAGGUUUUUACCACCUUUGAAGACCUUGCUUACACCACCGAAAUAGAGCAUUUCAGAUUAAAUAGUAAUCUUAAAUAUUUAAGACCCCUUCCCUUGCAUCCCUAGGGUUAAGGAUCUUAGCAAUUCACACUCCUACUUUGAGACUAUUUUGUAUUUGUUGUACUUGCUCUUUCAGCCCCCAGACAUAACAUUGGCUUUCUCCUGUCCUGUUUUUUGCAGCCAGGUGAGUUGUGAAACCAGACAGAUUGGAUGUACCACCAAUUAAGGCUACACAGUUUGAGCAGAGGCCUCACCCUUACCCAGCAAAUCAUUUAUUCCUCCUUUAUGGAUUUUCUGGAAUGUUUACCUUGUUUUACAUUUUAUCUUUGUCCUCAACUAGGAUUCUAUUCCUUGAUCCUCUUCACAGUCCAGAUGACCUUGAGUACUGCCUUACUGAGAAUUUGAUAUGAGGUUCAGCAAUAUCUCCCUUUUACCUCCUUUGAAUGUCUCUUAAUCCACCUUUAUUUAUUUUUCAUCAGUUAGUAACUGGGCUUGAUUGCCUUAAUGUUGAUAGCUUCCAAACUGGUGUCUCUGCCUCCUGGUAGCAUCUUCUGUGUUGUUGGGACAAUUGUCCUAACAUAGAGGUAGAGCCAAUAAUGACUGAUGCAACUCUUAACUGGCUUCUAACUACUCACAGGAUGAAUUAUGAAUUCAUCAACAUGAACGCGAUGUACAAGGUCCCUCAAUUGGCUUUUGUCAACAACUUGUUCAUUUGCUACAGUUUUCUACACAGACCUCUCGAGUCAUUCUGGACUGAUCGUUUACCCAAAUCAUAGUGACGUUGUCAUACCUCUUUGUAGGCUGGUUCCUUAUGGAACAGUGCCCUCGGCGCUCCUUACUUUUCAAAUACCCUCUCCCCUAUGAUCUUGACUUCUGUGAUCUAUCAUCCUAUAAGCCAAACACCUCUAAAGAAAGGUUAGCAGUGCUUUCUCCUGAUCUCAGCAGGUUGAAUCAGCAUUUCUCAGGUUGUUAUUGCUUGUUUAAAUUCUCUUAACUAUUCAGAGCUUCUUGAGGGCACAGGUUCUUGUUGAGUCUUGUACCACUAAGCUGCUAGAAUGUGCCUUGAUGCCUUGCCAAUCCUAAGAAAAAUGGAAUGGGUGACAUGUAGAUGUCUUUAUAAGGUUUGAUAGGUUAUUGAUCUCUGAAUAGUUUUGUAAGCUUGUGCUCUAGAUUAGUACUGUCCAAUAGAAUCUGCAGGGAUGGGAAUGUUCUGCCUUUUUGCCAACCAAUGUAGUAGCCACUAACCCUAUAUUACUGUUGCACUGGAAAUGUGGCUAGUGUGACUAAAGAACUGAAUUUUCAACUUUAUGUAAUUUAAAUUGCCACAGUAUAAAUUGUAGCUGUGGCCACAAACUUGUGUUGUGGGUUGCUGAAUACUUAAUGUGAAUGUUGAUAACUUUCUCUUAAUGCUGAGCACUAAGGAAGCAAAAGUUGGCCUAUUUAGUUUAUUUUUAUCUUCCCUGCUUGUUUUACCUUUAUCUGUACACUUUAGCUGUACUUAGCUGAGAGCCAAAUUCAACAAGCCGUUACUUUAAACCUUCCUUGGACAACAGUAUGUUGAGAAAGCAAAGCAGGCGUUGACUAGUUUGGAUUUCAAAAACCAAUGUGUAAUGAAUUUUAGGAAAGUGGGAUUUCAUUAAACCAUAAUAGUGACAGAAGUUUAGCUAGGAAUAGGGACUAUAUCUGAUGCCAAUGAAACCAGGCCUAAAUUUCAGUCCUAUAAGGUUUCGUUUUUGGAGAAACUUCAUCAGAGGAGGCCAGGGCCUAAGUGUCAUAUGCCUGUCAUAUGGAAGUUUCAUCCUGAUAAAGUGUAAAUUAAUAGAUAUAUCCUAACACCAAAAUAUUUGAUUUAUCUGCUAAUAUAACCUGUUGUAAAUGACAAUUUUUUUACUUAAAAUUUCUUACACUUAUAAGACCCUUAGGAUGGGAAUCUUAAAACCGGUCAGUGCACACCAGUUACUGUUUAGUGCAGACUUCCAGUCCCAUACCCAAAGAUUCUGAAUCCAGUUAAGGCAGAGGGGUGGGAGGCACUGGAAUUCCGUACCGAGUUCCUUAUUUCCUUCUGAUAUUGGGGACUCAGGGACCACACUGGAUAUACAGCCCCUGGGCUAUAGUACACCUAUAUAUCUGACAAAAAUGGUUGCAGUUUCAGAGAGACCUCUAAUAUUUUGUGUGUUCUUUACUUUGUAAUUUUUUCCCUCAACUUUUUUUUUCCCUUUCAAAAAACUGAAUGAAUGGAAAAACAUGUUGAGACAAUGAGUACUGAUGUUUAAUACAUUUUGGAAACUUGCAGGUCAGAUUGUUUUUUUUUGUAAAACAGAUACUAAAUAUUCCAAAUACAUUUUUAAAAAACCAUAGUAUUGCCUUUCUUGUCUGUUUUCCCAAUAAAUGCAUUCCUCAGGGACUUAUUUUUGAUUCCCCAAUGCCUGAACACAGAGCUGGGUACUUAAUAAAUGUUGGUUUUAUUAAUUUAUAUGUAAAAUUGGUUUUCAAAUAAUAGCAAAGUCUACAAAACACAGACACAUGUCUCCUUUUAUGGAGAAAUUUUAGGGUCAUACUUAACCCAAGUCUCAUUCUAUUUAUAGAAGAGACUACUGCAUCAUGGUCUCUGAAUGCAUCUGUCCAAUGUUGAGCUCUUCCUUGGGUUUCCUGUAUAAACCAUUGCACUUAUCCUCUUCCUGUGCUUCACUUCCUUUGGCUUUAUUUUUUAAUAAACCAGCUAUCUAUCUCCUUUUGUAAUAGAGCCAUGUUCUGUGUUUGUUUUUUGUUUUUGUUUUUUUACAGAGCAUGUGAGCAGGAGAGAGGGGCAGAGGAAGAGAGAGAAUCUUAGGCUCCACUUUCAGCACGAAGCCUGAUGCAGUGCUUGGGGCUUUAUCCCACAACCCUGGGAUCACCACCUGAGCCAAAAUCAAGAGUUGGAUGCUCAACCGACUGAGCCACCCUAUAUGACCCCAAGCCAUAUUGUUUCUUAUGCUUCUAGGACAAAAGUAUAUUGAACACUUCUUACUUUGAGAAAGUUGAAGGUUUUGUAAAGGCUUUUUACAUUUUUUUAGAUUGGCAAAAUUUGAGCCACAUAAUGUUCCUGCCAUGUAUUUUUUAUGCAAAGAGGAGGUUUGGUAUCAUUAUGCUUUGCAACUGUUAAUCCAGAAUUUGAUAGGGAUCAGCAUCACAAGGAUAAGACUACUUUGACUAUUUUUAGGCCAAUCUUAUGUAGAGCACUUUGGCAGGCUGGGAAUUUUUUGUUAUUUUACCUACUGGCAUACUACUAUAUGCUGGAGGACAUAUUUCAGAAGACUUUUUUUUCCUUAUCCAUGACUCCCCAUUCUUGAUGGAGUGGGUAAGAAACUGGAUUAUUAGAGAGCUGUUAGUAGCAUGGAAUUAAACAUUGAGGUUUAUUUUAUCCAAUGGGCCAGGGUUGAACCUGAGUGUCCUGAUAUCGUGAGAGCACAUGUGCAAGUGUGGGAGUGUCACAGAGGGAAAGAGAAUCCCAAGCAGGCUCCACACUGUCAGCACAGAGCCCUACAUGAACUGCAAGAUGAUGACCUGAGGCAAGAUCAAGAGUCAGACGCUUAACCAACUGAGUCACUCAGGCACCCCUGUAUUUUUUAAAGAAUGGGUCACUGGGUUUAAAAAAUUGUAAGACUACUUGUUCAACCCACACCCACUAUCUAUGUCUAAAAAUGGAAAAAAGAUUAAACAGUAAUAUAUUGCACAGUUCUCAUAGGAAGAAUCAACUGCAAAGAAACUAAGAAAAAGUGACAGAAAUAUCUUAAAGGAUGAGUUACUAUAUUAUAUGGGCUGGAGAAACAUUCCACAAUAGCUGAGAAACUUUACAAACAGCCAUAUACACAGUUGACAUUCCUGAUUGUCUGCUGGUUGAAAAGUAAAAAUCACGGCAGUGCCAUUUUUUUCAACAGUACAUGGUCAUGUUAAACACUGUGUUGCAGACUUGAAGUCUGGGUUAAUACCUCGCCUGUAGAAGUAUAUUUAAGCCUGAGAAACAUGGCUGGGCUUGUUAUUUUGCAUGUAUUUGUCUUGCAUCAGCUAGUCAGAGACUAUUCUGUCAAAGCUUGGCAACAAACCCAACAUGUCCUAAACCAGCUAAAGUGUUGAGUAAUUUAAUUAUUUUAUUUAGUAAUCUCUACACCAGUGUGGGGCUUGAGCUCACAAACCCUGAGAUGAAAAUUUGUAUCCUCUGUCGACUGAGCCAGCCAGGCAUCCCUUUAACAACUCUUUAAAAUCCUCUGGUUUAUCCUGAUAUUUUCACUAACAGUGAAAAAGCAAAAGUUGGUCAAGCUGCCUGCAUCUCGGCAUUAAUCAAGGCAGUGGCAUCAAACUAUAGUAUUGACUGCCAUGCAUUGGAAGGGGAAGGGGUGGUAGGAGUUUCAGUUUUCCUGUGAAAACAGUAAAAUUAUUUUAUGAAACCUGGACCUUGAGUAUGGAACUUUAUUAUUUUUUUUAAUGUGUAAUUUGUUGUCAAUUUGGUUUCCAUACAACACCCAGUGCUCAUCCCAAUAGGUGCCCUCCUCAAUGCGCAUCACCCACUUUCCCCUCUCCCGCACCACCCAUCAACCCUGUUCUCAGUAUUUAAGAGUCUCUUAUGGUUUGCCUCCUUCCCUGUCUUAGUAUGAGUACUGAAAUGCAAAGUUUGCAUAUAGGACUUAAGCUUGUUUAAAGUACAAGUGGUUGUCUUAUGAAAAAGCGGUCAUGUGAUUGACUUGCAGGCUGAAUUAGUGAUUUUCUUUUCACAGCAUUUUUACUUCAAUGACUGUCAGAGUUGGCUAUCUGGCUGACAUUUAAAAAAUUUUUUUUAACAUUUAUUUAUUUUUGAGACAGAGAGACAGAGCAUGAACGGGGGAGGGUUAGAGAGAGAGGGAGACACAGAAUCUGAAACAGGCUCCAGGCUCUGAGCUGUCAGCGCAGAGCCUGAUGCAGGGCUCGAACUCAGAGCGCGAGAUGGUGGCCUGAGCCAAAGUCAAGAGGCCUAACCGACUGAGCCACCCAGGCGCCCCUGGCAGACAUUUUUAAGUGUAAAGAAAUACCUUUCAAAGAAAAACAGUUGACAGCACUUGUCAGUGAUAAACUCAAAGUCUGAAGUGAAAAUUAGAAUUUGGGAAAACUUAUACCCACUAUCAGGAGCUUCUCUUCCUAAUGAUUAAAGGAACUUUGGGUUUUUGGUUUUUUUUUUUAAUGAGCUAAGUAGUGAUAUAAAUAUGAUUUGUAGAAAUUAUAAGCUGGACCAGGGCUCGGGAGGUUUAUGUAACUCAGUAAACCGUAAUUUCCAAAUGACCAAUACAUGAAAUGACAAAAAAAAGUUGCAAAUAAGUUAACAUAUCUCAACCAAUUGAAUGUGAAGAUAAAAAUCCAGUGCCUUCUAUUAAGGCAGACAUGUAAAUGAGUUGGAAUAAUGUAAAACAGCAUCACUGUCGAAAAUAAAGUUACUUCUGUGA